RNAcentral lists this ribosomal RNA (253 nucleotides) under uncultured bacterium. RNAcentral's name for it is "partial 16S ribosomal RNA". It matches the Rfam family "Bacterial small subunit ribosomal RNA", at positions 524 to 776 of the family's 1533-position model. The record is from RNAcentral.
UACGUAGGGUGCAAGCGUUGUCCGGAAUUAUUGGGCGUAAAGAGCUCGUAGGCGGUUUGUCGCGUCUGCUGUGAAAUCCCGAGGCUCAACCUCGGGCCUGCAGUGGGUACGGGCAGACUAGAGUGCGGUAGGGGAGAUUGGAAUUCCUGGUGUAGCGGUGGAAUGCGCAGAUAUCAGGAGGAACACCGAUGGCGAAGGCGGCAUCCUGGACCGAGAUUGACGCUGAUGAGCGAAAGCUAGGGGAGCAAACGGG